This 73-nucleotide transfer RNA is filed under the name Brachybacterium alimentarium. It matches the Rfam family "tRNA". Rfam says of the family: Transfer RNA (tRNA) molecules are approximately 80 nucleotides in length. Their secondary structure includes four short double-helical elements and three loops (D, anti-codon, and T loops). Further hydrogen bonds mediate the characteristic L-shaped molecular structure. tRNAs have two regions of fundamental functional importance: the anti-codon, which is responsible for specific mRNA codon recognition, and the 3' end, to which the tRNAs corresponding amino acid is attached (by aminoacyl-tRNA synthetases). tRNAs cope with the degeneracy of the genetic code in two manners: having more than one tRNA (with a specific anti-codon) for a particular amino acid; and 'wobble' base-pairing, i.e. permitting non-standard base-pairing at the 3rd anti-codon position. RNAcentral also lists the same sequence under 39 other names. Lineage: Bacteria; Bacillati; Actinomycetota; Actinomycetes; Micrococcales; Dermabacteraceae. The record is from Rfam by way of RNAcentral.
GCCCCGUUCGUCUAGCGGCCUAGGACGCCGCCCUCUCACGGCGGUAACACCGGUUCAAAUCCGGUACGGGGUA